CCUACGGGAGGCUGCAGUGGGGGAUAUUGCACAAUGGGGGAAACCCUGAUGCAGCGACGCCGCGUGUGGGAAGACGGUCCUCUGGAUUGUAAACCACUGUCCCCAGGGACGAAGAUGACGGUACCCCAAUAGCAAGCCACGGCUAACUACGUGCCAGCAGCCGCGGUAAUACGUAGGUGGCAAGCGUUAUCCGGAAUGACUGGGCGUAAAGGGUGCGUAGGUGGUUUAGUAAGUUGGCGGUGUAAUUCCGGGGCUCAACCUCGGCGCUACCGCCAAAACUAUUAGACUAGAGUGCAGGAGGGGUAAGUGGAAUUCCUAGUGUAGCGGUGGAAUGCGUAGAUAUUAGGAGGAACAUCAGGGGCGAAGGCGACUUACUGGACUGUAACUGACACUGAGGCACGAAAGCGUGGGGAGCAAACAGGAUUAGAUACCCUAGUAGUC
Molecule: ribosomal RNA, 441 nt
Filed under: uncultured bacterium
Lineage: Bacteria
Description: partial 16S ribosomal RNA
Rfam family: Bacterial small subunit ribosomal RNA
Source: RNAcentral